UAUAAGAGGUCCUGCCUGCCCAGUGACCAUGUGUUCAACGGCCGCGGUAUUUUAACCGCGCGAAGGUAGCGUAAUCAUUUGUCUUUUAAAUGUAGACCUGUAUGAAUGGCGCGACGAGGGCUUAACUGUCUCCUUUUUCCAGUCAAUGAAAUUGAUCUCCCCGUGCAGAAGCGGAGAUGACCCCAUAAGACGAGAAGACCCUGUGGAGCUUUAGACACUAAGACAGACAAUAGUACCUCCCCACAAAGAGAUAAACCUAAUGAACUCCUGCCGUUAUGUCUUUGGUUGGGGCGACCUCGGAGAACCACAAAACCCCCGCGUGGAAUAGGAACAACUCACCUUUUUUUACCACCCAAAACCAAGAGUCACCACUCUAAUUAACAGUACUUCUGACCAAUGAGGAUCCGGCUUAUGCCGAUCAACGGACCAAGUUACCCCAGGGAUAACAGCGCAAUCCUCUUCUAGAGUCCCUAUCGACAAGAGGGUUUACGACCUCGAUGUUGGAUCAGGGCAUCCUAAUGGCGCAGCCGCUAUUAAGGGUUCGUUUGUUCAACGAUUAAAGCCCU
This 566-nucleotide ribosomal RNA is filed under the name Stegastes diencaeus (longfin damselfish). Its description in RNAcentral is "partial 16S ribosomal RNA". It matches the Rfam family "Bacterial large subunit ribosomal RNA", at positions 1844 to 2597 of the family's 2925-position model. Lineage: Eukaryota; Metazoa; Chordata; Actinopteri; Pomacentridae. The record is from RNAcentral.